CCGUCGGCGGGACGGGACUGUGCCGCUCUCUCUCCUGAUCUUCCCCUUCAUUCGGGGUCUAAUAAGUGUUGUAAAGUUGUUAAAAGAAAUAACAGGAUUUUUACCGAAAAGUGUUUUGUUGAGUACGAAGUUAUAGAGAAUGAUCGUGGUGUGUGGUUUAGAUUUCGCGAUGGAGUAAAAAUUAUAUACGUGUUAUAAGCAGCCAAGCCACACGGCACCGAAAAAAAGUUUUUUUGGUUUACUCAAAAUAAAGGAAAAGUGCUGUGGAGAUAUACCAGUGUUAGUGAAUGUUAAAGAGGUGAUUUUAAGAUACAUGAAAGUGGAUUGUACAAAGGAUAACAAUUUUCAUCACUGGAAGAAAGCCCGACGAUGUAUGAUAGGUUAUGGUGUUGAGGUGGUGAUGGCGGGUGUGGUGAGCGCCGGGGGCAGCAGCGGCAAGGGGCGCCGCCCCCUGGGUGCCCCCCGCGGGACCAGCAGCAGCAGCUCCCCCAGGUCCUGCUCCUUCCCCGUUGGCGGCGGCGGUGGCCUGCCGUCACGCGCAUCCAUGCGGCCUUCACUGCUCGGUCUCUUUCUGCUGACCGCUCUUGCUCUCGCCUCAGCGGAACAAGUGGUACUCCUGGACACCACGACGGAAUCCUCCCUGGAAUGGACCAGAUAUCCCUUCGGACCCAACUCGCCGACUCCUGGGUGGGUUGAGGAGAGCUUCACGCAGUUCGAGAACGGCAUCAACUGGCGGUCGUACGUGGUGUGCGACGUCGCCUACAACAACGUCAACAACUGGCUGUGGACGCCCUUCAUCGAGCGCGGCCCCGCCAACCGCAUGUACAUCGAGGUCAAGUUCUCCAUGCGGGACUGCUCGCUCUUCCCCGGCACCGCUCUCUCGUGCAAGGAGACGUUCUCGCUCUUGUACUACGAGUUCGACGCCGCCACGAAGGAGCCGCCCUUCUGGGAGCCCGAGAGCUACAAGCUGAUCGACCGCAUCGCCGCCGACGAGGGCCGCUUCACCAACUCUGCCGACAUCAUCAUCAACGCCGAGGUGCGCUCCAUCCCGGUCACCAAGAAGGGCAUCUACUUCGCCUUCAGGGACCAGGGCGCCUGCAUCUCCCUGCUGGCCAUCAAGGUUUACUACAUCACUUGCCCGGAGAUCACCAAGUCCUUCGCCCACUUCCCCACAACGCCCACGGGUGCGGAGGUGACAAGCAUCGAGCAGGCCAAGGGCGUGUGUGUAGCCCACGCCCGCGAGGAUCCCCCUGCCAAGUUCCUGUGCACGGGCGACGGCCAGUGGUCCCUCCUCAGCGGCGGAUGCGCCUGCCUGCCCGGCUACCAGGGCAACGUCGAGAAGCAGAGCUGCGAUGUGUGUCCUCCAGGCAAGUUCAAGGAUGCUGUGGGUGCGUCUGCAUGUCGUGCAUGCCCAGACCACAGUGCCGCUCCUCAUGCAGGUGCCACCGAGUGCCGUUGCGACACUGGCUAUUACCGUGCUCACAAAGAUCCCCGGAGCAUGCCAUGUACCCGUCCUCCAAGCAAGCCCCAGAAUGUCACAGCCAACGUCUUGGAUCAGUCCACGGUCAUCCUAGGAUGGCAGCCUCCGGUUAAUGAUGGCGGCCGCACCGACAUCCUCUACAGGGUCAUCUGCGAUGCCUGCAGUAAUCAGGUGUCCUACAAUCCACCCCAGGUUGCAGAGGAGAGUUUCAACACAACCCAGGUUACCAUCACUGGCCUGUAUCCUGUAACCACUUACAGGUUUCAGGUCUUUGCAGAGAACGGAGUUUCUGAUCAGGGUCGAGAUCCCCAGUAUGUUGAUAUAACUGUGACCACAGAAGCAUCAGGUGGCUUUAUGGUGAUUGGCUCCGAUACAGAGGUUCCAGCCAUGGUGAGCAAUGUCCAUGUUACCAGUGUGAAGAGCACUGAAAUAUCCCUUGCUUGGGAUGCUCCCAAUGACCCAGAUAAUGAAAUUGAAAUGUAUGAGGUUCGGUACUUUGUCCGUGGGAUGGAGAGCAAUUCAUCGAGUUUGUUAGCAACAAAGGAAGAGUCAUCUGUCGGUGCACUAAGACAAAGAACAGAAUAUGGUUUUCAAGUUCGUGCCAAGACCGCCAAUGGCUUUGGGGAUUACUCUCCCCCGAUCUACAAGAUGACCGGGCAGCUGCUUAGCCCAGCUUAUGUUGGUGAUGAAGACAAUACACAAGUGCGGAUCAUAGUGGGAGCCACAGUUGGAGCUUGUGUUGUUAUUGCAGUAAUUGUCAUCAUGACGCUGUUGUUCUUGAGAAGCAGAGGCACAGAUGAGUGUAAUAAGAAGCAGCCCUCAGACUGUGACACCCUGGAAUACCGCAACGGUGAAGAUACCACCAACUUGUGUCUUCCUGCGUUACACCCUGCCUGCUUUAGAACUGGUCAUCUCACCCCGUGGACCCUAAACACAUCUCCUCUGUACAUGCACGGUGUUUUGGAAAACCCACCCAUAGUCCAAACCCACAUCACCGGAAGUAUGACAACUCCUCUCUUCACACAAGUAGGGCACCACCGGACGUAUAUAGACCCCCACACAUAUGAAGACCCAAAUCAAGCCAUAAGGGAGUUUGCACGGGAGAUAGAUGCCUCCUACAUCACCAUUGAGGCCAUUAUUGGAGGUGGAGAAUUCGGUGACGUUUGCAAAGGGAAGCUGCAGCUUCCAAGCCGGCCAGAGAUGACAGUUGCAAUCAAGACUCUGAAGCCUGGGUCCUCUGAGAAAGCUCGUGUGGACUUCCUGACAGAGGCAUCCAUCAUGGGUCAGUUUGAGCACCCUAAUGUCAUUUUCCUGCAGGGGGUUGUUACAAAGAGCAACCCUGUCAUGAUCAUCACAGAAUACAUGGAGAACGGCUCACUAGACCAUUUCCUCAGGGUGAAUGAUGGCAAAUUCCAAGUACUCCAGCUGGUUGGGAUGCUCCGAUGUAUUGCCUCAGGGAUGCAGUACUUAAGUGAAAUGAAUUACGUACACCGUGACUUGGCUGCUCGUAAUGUUCUUGUCAAUGCUCAGCUAAUAUGCAAGAUUGCCGACUUUGGUUUAUCCCGUGAGAUUGAAAGUCACACAGAAGGAGCAUACACCACAAGGGGUGGCAAGAUCCCUGUGCGAUGGACUGCCCCAGAGGCUAUUGCUUUCCGUAAGUUCACCAGCGCUUCUGAUGUAUGGAGUCUAGGCAUCGUGAUGUGGGAGGUGAUGAGCUAUGGGGAACGACCUUACUGGAACUGGAGUAAUCAAGAUGUCAUCAAGAGUAUUGAGAAGGGUUAUCGUUUACCGGCACCAAUGGAGUGUCCAGAAGCUAUCUACCAGCUGAUGCUGGACUGUUGGCAGAAAGAACGCAAUCAUCGUCCCAACUUUGCAUCCAUUGUGCGGACGUUGGACAGACUUAUCCGCACUCCUGAAGCACUAAACAAAGUAGCUCAGAACAGGCGGCCGGCCCCCCAAAACCCCUACUAUGCACCCGUCCUCAUCCGACCCCAGUGGGUCAACUUUAACCAGGCAGCCUAAAAUAAGCGCCGUCAUGCCUGACUGACAUGUCUGUCACCUGGUGGAGGUUUUAUAAGGUGUACAACAGCUCUGGGUCUUGACUCAGUGGACAUGACACAGCUCACAUCUGUGGAGGACUGGCUUGCUUCCAUCAAGAUGACCCGCUAUCUUGACAACUUCCAGCGGACGGGCUUGACUGACCUGGAAGCUGUGGCACGCCUGACGCAGCACGACCUAACACAGCUUGGCAUUACCCUAGUUGGCCACCAGAAGAAAAUUUUGCAGAGUAUACACACCAUGCGCACGCAGCUUGCCGUCAACAUGUCCGAGGGCUUCCUGGUAUAGUGCCACUACUCUAACCCAUGCCAACAGUCGGCACUCAAGUUAGGGUACAAGUAGUCAGGUGGGCUAAAUGUCCAGGUCCAGAGUGAAUGCGAUGUCCGUUGGUGCGUCAAAAGUUGGACCUGAAGGCCAUCGUCUACGUGAAAAUGUGAUAAUGAUCGAGGGAAAGACACUAAAGCGAAGCUUGAGUCCUGGGCGGGGUAGAGUGCAUUUUAUUUUAUUUUAAUUGCAAUAAUGUGAAAAAAUUGUCCGUCACAAAGAACCCUCUCUUUUGCCCAUUAGCUCAAGGAAACCCUCACCCCAGGAUGCAACAAGCGAACUGUAAGAAAACGUGGUUGACUGCAACCAGAGACUGUUGUUUUGGGAAUCAGCAAGUGCUCCCAGCCCUCUCCUUCUUGUGAUAUUUUCAUGGCCAAUGGUGUGUUGGAGACAGAACUGUGGUGCGCAUGUGUGUGGUGUAUGGACAGAACGACGAACAGCUGUAAAUCAACUCCUGCGAGAGCUCGUGUCUGCAUUAGGGUUGACAAGCAUGCCUGUCACUUCUGCGCGUUGUACGCCACUGGUUUGACCCUUAGUGUAAUUGUUGAUAUUCCAUUUGCUGCCAGACCUUAUUCUGCCAAAGUCUAGUAUUGGUGUUGUCCUUUCUACCCUUUGAUGAAAUCUCGGAGAUUGUUUCCCCAUUUCAGCUUCCGCAAGCGUCUCACUUUCUACUGAGAGAUUAUAAGUUGCCUGAUGUGGUGAAGCGCAGUGUAGUGUGUAUUAAAGUUGCUCAUGCACACGACUGGAAAAUGGGAAAAAAACUAAUGGGUGAACAAAAACAUGUUAUAUAUAUAUAAUGAUGAUAAAGAGCUCUGCAAAAGGUUCUAAACAUAUAAAAAGCUAAACUUUUAAAAAGCAGCUUUUUCAAGGGGGAUUCUUUUUGAUAUAUUUGGAGGAUAUGAGUAUAUAUACUUUAAAAUGUAAAAAAAAAAGACGUUGCAUACUAGAAACAGCCAAGAGAUGAGAGAGAUCCUCCCUCCUUGACGCACAUAUCACUUUCCCAUCUUGUGAACAUCCGGCCAUUCCUCGCUCCCUUUCCUCCCUCCCUCCCAAAGGACCCGUCACCGCUGUAGUCACGUCGCCUCGUUGUUUGCCCGAGUAAGAAAAUGCAGUGCUGGUAAAUGGCUGGGUGGGUUGUCUCAUGAUCACAUUUAAGCAAAACAAAUAGGUUGUCCAGAAUGUGUCAAUGAAAUGUAAAGCUUGAGUGGAGAAAAAAAAGCAAAAUCAGAUAGAAUGAGUUGUCAUUUAAGCUCUUGUUUUUAUGAAUAUUUAAAAAAUGAUAUACAGAAUAUCGAAAGAUAUUUUUUUAGUAAAAGUCGUCACAAGUCCAACUGAGGUGAUAAAGCCUGUAUCACUCGACCAUGUACUAACACCGCAAGAGAGCUCGGCCCUCCUCAGUGUCUGUCCAGUCACCUCAAGGCAUCACUCUGCCCCCUUCUUGCACAGGUUAUCCAUAUCAUUUAAUGUUUACUUUCCCAAUCGAUGAUUUAAAAAAGAAAAUAGUGUUGUCAAUAGUGUUGCAAUAUUCCCAAAUGAUAUUGUAGCCUGGUUUUAGUCACGACAUUGUUUCCUUUGAUGUUAACCACUUGUAUUUCCUUGCCUCUCCUUCUUCCCUUUUUUAGCCACCAGAUGAUUUGCCAAAAACGACCAAGUGCAUGUUAGUGUAUUCCUGUGUACUGUUGUUAGCAGAAGCCUGUGUUUUUGGGAACGUGUGUGAUGACUAGAUAAUCAAAAUUUUUUGUAGAUCCUGUUUAGUAUUAGAAAGAAGUUUCUACAAAAGCACCAAGCAAUACAACUCACUGAUAUAAGAAUGUGUUACUAGCUGUAUUGUUACUGUCAAACUAAUGAGUAACAAUCAAAAAAACAUCCUUAACCGUUUAGCUAGAUAUUUUCAUACAUCACACUUCAUAAUAACUAUAGGAGAAGAAAAGUAGAAUCUAAGUCCCAAAGAUGGAGGAAGGAAGGUGUGAGUAUUCCUAGGGAAGUUCCGUGUGUGAUAAUUUUGGAUUCUUGUAUUUUGGAAAGGGGAGGGAGAUGAUGUGGCAAAGUGGUCCACAUCCCUUGUGCCAGAGUGGGCCACUGGUCUUCACAUUCCACACCCUCUCAGUUAAGGUUCCAUGUCAGGGCGUUUGCCAUUAGAAUUGUUCCUAUUAAGAUGUAAUUCAGCUUGCAUAAAGUUUUUAGCCAAUCAUUUCAAGUAGCUUCCAAAAAAGUGGUCUUCGAUUUGCAGUUUUCAGUUGCUGCAUUUUUCGUCGUGAACGGUGCGUGCGUAGGUGUCUGCUUUUAGACCUUUCGGUUACAGGGGAUUUUUAAUUUUCUGAUGAAGCCUCAGGGCGACCACUUUCACUGCCUCAUCGACAGUUCCGAGAAUCAAGCAAUCGUCCAGGGCAGCGCAGUGGAAGCAUUAGGGCUUUUUGGAGGAAGGCCACAGGACAGAUGACACAGAUAGUUAACAUAGAAAGAAGAAAGAAAAAAGUGUUACAGAAGGGCAAAAGAGGAGUUUCCAAAAGAGAAAGGCUACCGACAGGUUAUUCUCGUAUUGUAUGCGCAAAUUACUUUUUUUUCCAGAAGCACGAUUUAUUUCUUCUUUGGUGCAAAUUUUUGUUAUUAUUUUUCUACGUCACAGCAAGGUGCGGUUGGUUGGUCAAGGAGGCUAGGUCACUGUUGGCAAAAUCGAGCCCUCCCCCUCGGCAAGUCCAAAUGCUCCCACAGCUGUUGUUUUGCUUUGUGGCAAAUUCCCUGACAGACCUCAAGAGACGUGUCUUAUUUUCUUACUGAUGUAGUCUCACAAUUACUUUGAUAUAUGUCUUCUAUUACCAUUACUAUCAUAAUCAGCGGCAUAUUCUCCAGCAACUUCCCACGACUGUUUGGGAAACUUUCAACUCAAAGAUGCUGUGUAUGCUAUAUACAGCUGGACAGUUACGUAUAUCCAAUACACAUACAUACUCUUCGCAACCUUGGUGUAAACUGUUGAGAAGGCAACAAUCAAAAAUUCCAUUUUGCUAAAACCUAAAAAGAAAAUGUUUUUGGAGUAGGAUGCCAGUCUUUCUCUUUAGUUUACUACUUGAAAGUCACAAAGAAAUCUGCAAAUGCCUUGAGCACGGAGGACAGCAUAGCGUAAUUGUUUUAUAUCAUUUUUAUUUAUUGAGCCAACGCAUUGCUAGAAGAGCAUAUGUUGUGUACUAUAAUGUUGUAUAAAGUUUGUAAAAUAGUCAAGAAAUAUUUUAUAUUUUUAGUUGGUAAGGAACGAGAUCUCCAAUUUUGAACUUUAAUUGUUCGAACAUGGAAUGUGAUUUGUUUUUAGUUUGCUGAAGAAAUGGAGGUGCCAAUCUGUGCAUCAUAGCGUAUGUGAAGCAAGGGAACUUGGGGGUUUAGUUGUAAGAAAAUUAGUUAUUCAAAUCCAAAGUCACUUAUAACACUGAUCCCUGGCCCUGCCCCUAAGAUCCUAAGUGUCAGCUCUUUUGUACAUAUAUGAUUCUGCAGGCAUUUUCUUAUACACAGAUCUUUUUGAAUAUUGUAACUGUGUCCCGUACUUUCAUUUUCUUUUUACUUGUAUGUAUGAUGAAUUUAGAUACACCUGGAAGAUUUUUGGGCUUUCUUUGCUAAUACUCAAAUGUUUUAAAACAAGUAAAGUUCAUAGUAAUUUUUUUUAUCAUAAAACUGCUAUAAUUUGUGAUACGUCAAGAUCACAACCAGUUUCAUGUCAAUUACUGUUUUAUGUCAGUUCUGCAGUUAAUUACUGUUUUUACUUUAUGUAUUUUACUGUUCUUUUAUUGAUUAUAUUUAUUAUGAUUACUUCUGUAAUUGUCAUCAUUAUCACUAUCAUUAUUAUUUUUUAUUAUUUUUUGUAAGCUUCAAAUAGUAACAGUUAUUCUAUUUGCAUUAGAAUGACGUCCUACGACUCCUCUCAAGCUAACAAGUUGGUAUGACUCGUAGAGACCCCAUAUGCAACAGCUGUAAAUUGUAGCUUUUUCCUAGUCAUAUAUAUUAUCCCUCCCUCCAGCCGCAGGGAGGUGGAGGACAGCCAGAGCUCGGUUUGAUGACUCAGACAAAAUCUUUUCUGAAUAAAAGCAAAGAAAACUCGACAGACCACACGCCGCGAGGAACCAGCGUCAUUGUGAUUUCGUCUUAUCGGAUCACUGCGAUUCCUCUCUGGAGUUUUCUUACGAAACCCGAAUGCCGAGUUUGGACGCUCCGUCCGUCGACAUUUCGUGAGUUUUUCUUACUUAACAUAGAGCCAUUUUUGGAUCUGCAUCGUAUACCUAACCUGCCUGGCCUCCAUAGGGAAUGUAGGCCCCAGGAGCUUCAUGUGUCACAUUUGGCUUUACACUGUAGGUUUACAAUUUUAUUUUCAAGUGAUUAUAAUGCGAUCCCAAGAACUUUUCAUAAGAAAUCCUGGAGCUUUCUUUCUCACCUCCUCGGCAUAUUCUGCUGACAUGUUUGUAUUAUGUUUAUUCCUAACCUUCAGAGCAGUUGUAUGUGCAAGUUCUUUGUGUUCAAGAAACAAUAAAGUUUGACAGAAAUACGGGAAA
RNAcentral lists this unclassified non-coding RNA (8394 nucleotides) under Penaeus japonicus. Its description in RNAcentral is "ephrin type-B receptor 1-B-like, transcript variant X1". The record is from RNAcentral. Lineage: Eukaryota; Metazoa; Arthropoda; Malacostraca; Decapoda; Penaeidae.